Non-coding RNA from Lolium perenne, 1110 nucleotides. The record is from RefSeq and is a predicted model, not a curated record. NCBI's taxonomy places the organism in Eukaryota, Viridiplantae, Streptophyta, Magnoliopsida, Poales, Poaceae.
AGGCAGCAUCCCACGGAGGGAAACCCUAGCCGCCGGCCCGCCAAUUGCCUCGCGUGCUCAUCUUCCCCAAUCCCCUCCCGAGCCUCUCCUCUCCAAUCCCCUCACGAUCUCCUCGCCCAAUCGCUCGCGCCCGGGCGACGGAGCCGAGCGCGUGCUUGAAGACGGCGAAGGCGAGCCUGGCGACGGCGGCAAGCGCGAGCACGCGCCCAGGCGACGGCGGCGACUGCGGCGCGAGCGCGCGCUUGGAGACGGCAACGGCGGCGGCGAGCGCGCAGCUGAAACGACGGCGGCAAGCGUGUGCCUGCGCGACGACAGCGACUGCGGCGGCGACGGCAAGUGCGCGACUGGAGACGGCGCGCGCAUGGGUGGUGCGGCAACGACGGCAGCGAAGGCGCGCCUAGACGACCUUCUCCCCAAUCCCUGCAUCAGCUUGUCCUCCCCAAAAUAUCUGGAUUGGCCUACUCACAUAUUUCUCCCUCGAUCCCCUCCCUUGCUCCUCCCCAAUCACUGCCCUCCGCUCCAUCUCCGGCGAGCUGCCACCAGUCGUGUGCUCCGGCUCGCGCCAGUCCUCCGCCUCUCCCUCCUCCCCAGAGGUAAAUACAAGGUUUGGGGGCCGUUGCUGCCCUCCUCCCCCUGAUCCAAGUCCGUGCUCAAUAGGAGAUGGAUGUGUGUGGAAGCAGAGGUGGUGAUGCCAGGUGCGGGUGAUGGAGAUGCGUUGGGCAAGAACUCGUGAUGCUAGCCUAGGGUCCCUCUCACAACGAAGGCUCUUGUAGCAAGUGAAGCCCAGGUGCAUCUUUAGGAUUAGGAAUCUUGGAUGAUAAUUAUAAGAGUCGACGACAUAGGAGCAUGGUCAAGUGAGAGGUAUGACAUGGGAGUACAAGAGAAUAGUGCUAUGCUGAACAUGUGCCUUGCAAGCUUCUAAUUGAAUUGGAGAAGCUGAAAGUGUGUUUUGUUACUGCAAGGGGUGAGGUUUUUCUUCCAUGCUGGUUGGCUGGAUUUUUUUCAGUUUCUAUUAGUUCAUGUACAAUUCUUUCUUUCCUCAUAUAAUGAUUGGUGGGAAUAGUAAAGAAGAAAUGAUCUGCUAGAUGUGUGGCUUGUAGGUAGUGUUGC